UGAUCAUAAGCUGUCCCGUCCGGCAGGACACAUCAACGUGGGCAGCGAACCUAGAUGGGGAGGAAUGAAGGGACAAGAGACACAGAAGGAUGACAGCAAGACAAAAGUUCUGAUCAAGCUGCAAACUUUUAUUGUUCACACAGGGGUAUUUAUAUGGUGGGGAUGGGGAAGCUCUCUUAUCGGCAGUUGCUGGAUGUCUGCACAAGGUGAGAUAACCGCAGGAUGUUUCAGGAAGAUAGGUUUCAGGAAGAUAGGUGGCCGCAGGAUGUCUCAGGUGAGAUAAGUAGCUGCAGGAUGCCUCCCAGGCAGGAUGUCUCCCAGGGGGCUGUCAGGCUAAUCUUUGAAGGAGAAUUUCCUUCUAGUCCCUGACAGUUUAUUUUAUGUGCUGUUAGGGUCUUCAACUGUAUAUUGUUUCUUCUGUGAUUUCUAAAAACAAACAGAAACAAGACUAAACAAACAAACCAACCCUAAGGCUAAAGUGGCUAUAAACUAAAAAUCCAAAUUUUAUCAUCAGGGUUGCUGACUCAUUCUUAUCAGUUUGUCCCCAAGUCAUAUAACUAAAAGUUAGGACUUAGAAUCAGGAAAAAUCAAGGCUCUGAAAGCUGGAAUAAGGACAGGAAGGGGGGAUUCAGAAAACUCCAAGGAGUCUCUGAACUCAACGCCAUGAGACCCCCUGCUUGCCAAUGAAGCUUUUCUUUCCUUCUCAUUUUCGUGAGGAUGUUUUCCUCCUGACAUAAAAUGUAUGCUGUUUUUUCUAAUACCAGCCACUUUCUGAUUCUCCAAUUAACUGGAUGUUCAGUUAAAUUCUGAUACUAUCUACCUGGAGUUAGUAUCAGAUCCUACAAUUAAAGGUUCAAUCCCACAAGACUGCCUCUGUCACCGGAGGAGUUCCAAGUGAAAAACCAGCCUCUACCUCAGAGCAAAGCCUGUCCAAGGAAGGGGGCGUGACCCUUGUCCUUGGAAAGACCCACAGAGCACUCCUAGGCACAUACCCACCCUGCUGAGUUGUUUAUCUACAAAUAACAGGAGAGAUCUGCUGGGCCAGGUGUCCCUGACUCAGUCAGGCUAGGUGAGGACCCAUAGCAACCCCCUAGCAGCCACCAAUCAGCAUGAGACAGGGAAAUACCUGGGAUGCCAGAUGACCCCCCAGUAGUUUAUGGUGGUUGAUAACAUGUUGGGAAACCAUGUAGUUCAGCACGAAUUCCCCUCGUGGCUUAAAUCAAUCAGUUCAAAUGAAUCCCCCUUUUGUACUAACCAAUCACCCCUACCCAACUUGUUCCCGCCAGUGAAUGUGCUAAUCAUGUUUUAGAGUUGUUUUAUGAUUUUCCUGCGGUUAGAUGAUUUGCUAAGAGAUGCUAUGAUGUAUGUGAAGUCCCUGCCUUCCCCAAAGAGUGUAUAAAACUGCUGCAAACCCUGGGCUGGGGCCUCUCAGCGCUACCAGUUGCUGUGUGCACAUGGAGGACCCAGCUAGCUCG
RNAcentral lists this long non-coding RNA (1475 nucleotides) under Marmota monax (woodchuck). The record is from RNAcentral. Lineage: Eukaryota; Metazoa; Chordata; Mammalia; Rodentia; Sciuridae.